This 209-nucleotide ribosomal RNA is filed under the name uncultured bacterium. Its description in RNAcentral is "partial 16S ribosomal RNA". It matches the Rfam family "Bacterial small subunit ribosomal RNA", at positions 129 to 334 of the family's 1533-position model. The record is from RNAcentral.
CCUGGUAGCGGGGGAUAACUAUUGAAACGAUAGCUAAUACCGCAUAAUAUUGAUUAUUGCAUGAUAAUUGAUUGAAAGAUGCAACUGCAUCACUACCAGAUGGACCUGCGUUGUAUUAGCUAGUAGGUGAGGUAACGGCUCACCUAGGCGACGAUACAUAGCCGACCUGAGAGGGUGAUCGGCCACACUGGAACUGAGACACGGCCCAG